CCUACGGGAGGCAGCAGUGAGGAAUAUUGGUCAAUGGGCGGGAGCCUGAACCAGCCAAGUCGCGUGAGGGAUGACGGCCCUAUGGGUUGUAAACCUCUUUUGCCGGGGAGUAAAGUGCCGCACGUGUGCGGUUUGGUGAGUACCCGGAGAAAAAGCAUCGGCUAACUCCGUGCCAGCAGCCGCGGUAAUACGGAGGAUGCGAGCGUUAUCCGGAUUUAUUGGGUUUAAGGGGUGCGUAGGUGGACGCUUAAGUCAGCGGUAAAAUUGUGGGGCUCAACCUCGUAGUGCCGUUGAAACUGGGUGCCUUGAGUGGACGAGAGGUAGGCGGAAUGCGUGGUGUAGCGGUGAAAUGCAUAGAUAUCACGCAGAACUCCGAUUGCGAAGGCAGCGUACCGGCGCGCAACUGACGCUGAGGCACGAAGGCGUGGGUAUCAAACAGGAUUAGAUACCCGAGUAGUC
This 459-nucleotide ribosomal RNA is filed under the name uncultured bacterium. RNAcentral describes it as "partial 16S ribosomal RNA". It matches the Rfam family "Bacterial small subunit ribosomal RNA", at positions 338 to 795 of the family's 1533-position model. The record is from RNAcentral.